UUGGGUCUUUUGAUGUUUGGCCUUCAGUUGAUAUCUCUGAAUUGAUGUCCUCUUCCCAAGGAGAGACAUGUUCAUUUGGAAGCGAACACUCAAGUUACUGCACCAGCAAACUUGCAAAUUCAAGCACUCAGCUUUCAUCAACUUCCCUUUAUUCUGAUUCACAAAUGUGCGGGGUAUGCUCAAAGGUAUUGAAUGAUAGAUCUUUGUGGA
Molecule: long non-coding RNA, 210 nt
Filed under: Phoenix dactylifera (date palm)
Lineage: Eukaryota; Viridiplantae; Streptophyta; Magnoliopsida; Arecales; Arecaceae
Description: long non-coding RNA (PDAC_LNC011872)
Source: RNAcentral